AUGAUGGAUCCAACAGAGAUACUAAAUGUUAGGUUUCAUUUUGGAGGUGAUUUCAUCCGAAUUGGUCCAAAAUUGGACUAUGUUGGGGGUGAUGAGGAGAAGUCAGAGAUUGAGAGAGACAAGCUCUCUUUGCAGGAGGUAAAAGGGUCUUUGAAAGAUCAUGUGCAGCUGAAGGAAUCAAUGAAAAUCUACUUUCAUAUUCCUGGCAUUGAAUUGGCUGAUGGUUUGGUGUUCUUGGAUAAUGACAGUAAAUGUGUUAAGAUGGGGGAUUACAUUUGUGUUGGAGAUGUGGCACAUAUUUAUGUUGAGUACCAUUGGGAGGAGGACAAUGAAGACAGUAGCAGUUGCAGUGAUUUUGAGGAUGAAAUUGUGCAGUUAAGUGAUGCUCCACCUGACAUUGUCACUGCUGAAGCUACUGACAGUGAAAAAGAAGUGGUAAUUUGUUGA
RNAcentral lists this ribosomal RNA (447 nucleotides) under Triticum aestivum (bread wheat). RNAcentral describes it as "partial small subunit ribosomal RNA". Lineage: Eukaryota; Viridiplantae; Streptophyta; Magnoliopsida; Poales; Poaceae. The record is from RNAcentral.